This 27-nucleotide non-coding RNA is filed under the name Rattus norvegicus (Norway rat). Lineage: Eukaryota; Metazoa; Chordata; Mammalia; Rodentia; Muridae. The record is from RNAcentral.
UGCACUGGUGAAGACAAGCUGGUGACA